RNAcentral lists this ribosomal RNA (253 nucleotides) under uncultured bacterium. Its description in RNAcentral is "partial 16S ribosomal RNA". It matches the Rfam family "Bacterial small subunit ribosomal RNA", at positions 524 to 776 of the family's 1533-position model. The record is from RNAcentral.
UACGGAGGGGGCUAGCGUUGUUCGGAAUUACUGGGCGUAAAGCGCACGUAGGCGGCUUUGUAAGUUAGAGGUGAAAGCCCGGAGCUCAACUCCGGAAUUGCCUUUAAGACUGCAUCGCUCGAAUCAUGGAGAGGUGAGUGGAAUUCCCAGUGUAGAGGUGAAAUUCGUAGAUAUUGGGAAGAACACCGGUGGCGAAGGCGGCUAUCUGGACGGUUUCUGACGCUAAGACGCGAAAGCGUGGGGAGCAAACAGG